This 470-nucleotide ribosomal RNA is filed under the name Clostridiales bacterium canine oral taxon 127. Its description in RNAcentral is "bacterial SSU rRNA". It matches the Rfam family "Bacterial small subunit ribosomal RNA", at positions 9 to 488 of the family's 1533-position model. The record is from RNAcentral. Lineage: Bacteria; Bacillati; Bacillota; Clostridia; Eubacteriales.
GAGUUUGAUUAUGGCUCAGGACGAACGCUGGCGGCGCGCCUAACACAUGCAAGUCGAGCGGAGACUUAUGAGGAGUAAUCUGAAUAAGUUUUAGCGGCGGACGGGUGAGUAACGCGUGAGCAACCUACCUUUUACAGGGGGAUAACGUCCCGAAAGGGACCCUAAUACCGCAUGAGACCACAAGAACGAAUGUUAAAGGGGUCAAAGGAGAAAUCCGGUAAAAGAUGGGCUCGCGUCCGAUUAGAUAGUUGGUGAGGUAACGGCCCACCAAGUCAACGAUCGGUAGCCGACCUGAGAGGGUGAUCGGCCACAUUGGAACUGAGACACGGUCCAGACUCCUACGGGAGGCAGCAGUGGGGAAUAUUGGGCAAUGGGGGAAACCCUGACCCAGCGACGCCGCGUGAAGGAAGACGGCCUUCGGGUUGUAAACUUCUGUUCUUGGUGAAGAGGGAAAGACGUACCAGGGAGCC